This 63-nucleotide ribosomal RNA is filed under the name Melaleuca orbifolia. The record is from RNAcentral. Lineage: Eukaryota; Viridiplantae; Streptophyta; Magnoliopsida; Myrtales; Myrtaceae.
GUGCUUGGGCGAGAGUAGUACUAGGAUGGGUGAACUCCUGGGAAGUCCUCGUGUUGCACCCCU